This 320-nucleotide long non-coding RNA is filed under the name Serinus canaria (Common canary). Its description in RNAcentral is "lncRNA (ENSSCAG00000004925.1)". Lineage: Eukaryota; Metazoa; Chordata; Aves; Passeriformes; Fringillidae. The record is from RNAcentral.
CAGGAAGCCAGGCUGGGAGUUGGGAAUUGCAGCUGGGGCUUACAGGGACCUCCCCUUUCUCUGGGAACAAGGGGUUGGCGUUGUGCCACCCUGGUGGACAGCUGCUGGGGCCAGUGGAAAAGCAUUGGGCCUGGAUGUAAAAUUGAAGAGAGAAGAGAGAAGAAAGAGAGAAGAGAGAAGAGAGAGAUAAGUUUAAUGCUGAGCACUUACCACGGGCUUUUACUUCACUGUUUCUCAUCACUGGAGUCAACUGACUACAGCUCUUCUCAAAAGAGGGAGAGGAGAGCCUUGUCCCAUGCUGAGGAAGGUGCUGAAGGUGG